CGUGGGUGACCUACCUUUCAGUGAGGAAUACCGGCGAGAAAUCGCCGACAAUACCGCAUAGGCUUCGCUCUCUCUUGCAAGAGAGCGGGAGAAGCAAAGCUCCCUUUCGGGGGGCGCUGGGAGAUGGGCCCGCGGCCGAUUAGCUGGUUGGUGGGGUAAAAGCCUACCAAGGCCACGAUCGGUAGCUGGUCUGAGAGGACGAUCAGCCACACUGGGAUUGAGAACGGCCCAG
This 232-nucleotide ribosomal RNA is filed under the name uncultured bacterium. RNAcentral's name for it is "partial 16S ribosomal RNA". It matches the Rfam family "Bacterial small subunit ribosomal RNA", at positions 116 to 334 of the family's 1533-position model. The record is from RNAcentral.